UGUUGGUUUGGUUUCUGAUUUUUUAUGCAAAUGUAUGAGAAGUCUGGAAAGAUAGAAACGCAAGGGUCCAUGGGGGAAAAAUCAAAUCAAAAAAAUGAUCUCUUGGCUGCAAGUCCGGCAGAAUAUUUGCUUACAAAGUUCUUCUAUAUAUAUUUUUAAAGGAUAUACCAUCAAUCAGGUGCUUUUCAAAUGGGAGGAUGUGGUUAUUCAAAGUGUAUUAUAGCCAUGACUGCUGCCUAAUGGGUUAUCCUUUCUGAUGCUAAUGUUCCUUGUGAAGGGGAACACAAAAUUAUGUCUUAUGUUCGUCUGCAAAGAAACCUUCCUGGUUUCAAACCAAAUACUCGUCACCGCCUCUAUGGUUUAACAGGUGUAUUCCACGGAAUCAAGAAAGAUGGCGAGGGUUACACGGUUGAUUGCAAGAGUAGGUUGGAACUUCUUAUGGUGUCAUCUCCUGAUCGAGAAGAGCUGGAUGGGAGGAUGAUGACACUAUAGGCGAAGCCGCAUGUCAUGAAGACUUGGAGGAAGCUGGAGUUAAAGGAAUACUAAAUGAAAGUCCCUUGGGAAUGUGGGAAUUCAAAAGUAAAAGCAGAUAGAACUGCUGCAGUACGGAAGGAUCUUGCAGGCUUUAUAUGUUUGCAUUGGAAUUGACUGAAGAACUUGAUACCUGGAUAAAGGAGGAUAACCAUGGAAGAAAAUGGGUGUUGAAGCUGCUGAUCUUGUACUUCCGAUUUCUGUUGCAGUUUUGUUUAUCCGGUUUUACAAUAUAGCACUUCAGCAUGUGCGUGACCUUUACCUGGAGUUAAGGAAGAAAUAUAGGGACCAUACAUAUGCGCUGCAAAGUUUGUAACUCAGUGGACCUGUUUUCAGAAGAAUACAUUUCGUGAGUUUCUAUAUGUACACUAGUUUGCCGUGAUACUUGGCAUACAUUUGUAUCAAAACUUUUUGUUCAACUUCAAUUGAAGA
Long non-coding RNA from Papaver somniferum (opium poppy), 963 nucleotides. RefSeq lists it as uncharacterized. The transcript is spliced from 7 exons. The record is from RefSeq and is a predicted model, not a curated record. NCBI's taxonomy places the organism in Eukaryota, Viridiplantae, Streptophyta, Magnoliopsida, Ranunculales, Papaveraceae.